This 394-nucleotide ribosomal RNA is filed under the name Cryptococcus sp. SM13L10. RNAcentral's name for it is "eukaryotic LSU rRNA". The stretch from base 89 to 242 matches the Rfam family "5.8S ribosomal RNA". The record is from RNAcentral. Lineage: Eukaryota; Fungi; Basidiomycota; Tremellomycetes; Tremellales; Cryptococcaceae.
UUAUUAAUCCCUAACACCUGUGCAUUUUGUCGCUCCGGCGAUUAUUAUAAACAACAGUGUAAUGAAUGUAAAGUAUUAUAACAAAUACAACUUUCAACAACGGAUCUCUUGGCUCUCGCAUCGAUGAAGAACGCAGCGAAAUGCGAUAAGUAAUGUGAAUUGCAGAAUUCAGUGAAUCAUCGAAUCUUUGAACGCACAUUGCGCCUUUUGGUAUUCCGAAAGGCAUGCCUGUUUGAGUGUCAUACAGACUCUCAUAUGCAGUUUUCUGUAUAUGAGUUUUGGACGCUGCCGGUUACGGCUCGUCUUAAAUGUCUAAGUGGAAUGCGUAAUAAGUUUUCGCUCCCUCCACUCUAAUAAACUUUUAGUUUAGACCUCAAAUCAGGUAGGACUACCC